Molecule: ribosomal RNA, 427 nt
Filed under: uncultured Pseudomonas sp.
Lineage: Bacteria; Pseudomonadati; Pseudomonadota; Gammaproteobacteria; Pseudomonadales; Pseudomonadaceae
Description: bacterial SSU rRNA
Rfam family: Bacterial small subunit ribosomal RNA
Source: RNAcentral
AGUGGGGAAUAUUGGACAAUGGGCGAAAGCCUGAUCCAGCCAUGCCGCGUGUGUGAAGAAGGUCUUCGGAUUGUAAAGCACUUUAAGUUGGGAGGAAGGGCAUUAACCUAAUACGUUAGUGUCUUGACGUUACCGACAGAAUAAGCACCGGCUAACUCUGUGCCAGCAGCCGCGGUAAUACAGAGGGUGCAAGCGUUAAUCGGAAUUACUGGGCGUAAAGCGCGCGUAGGUGGUUUGUUAAGUUGAAUGUGAAAUCCCCGGGCUCAACCUGGGAACUGCAUCCAAAACUGGCAAGCUAGAGUAUGGUAGAGGGUAGUGGAAUUUCCUGUGUAGCGGUGAAAUGCGUAGAUAUAGGAAGGAACACCAGUGGCGAAGGCGACUACCUGGACUGAUACUGACACUGAGGUGCGAAAGCGUGGGGAGCAAA